This 500-nucleotide ribosomal RNA is filed under the name uncultured Glomeromycotina. RNAcentral describes it as "partial small subunit ribosomal RNA". It matches the Rfam family "Eukaryotic small subunit ribosomal RNA", at positions 591 to 1092 of the family's 1831-position model. The record is from RNAcentral. Lineage: Eukaryota; Fungi; Glomeromycota.
CCAAUAGCGUAUAUUAAAGUUGUUGCAGUUAAAAAGCUCGUAGUUGAAUUUCGGGGUCAGUAGGUUGGUCAUGCCACUGGUAUGUACUGAUCUUACUGAUUCCUCCUUCCUGAUGAACCGUAAUGCCAUUAAUUUGGUGUUGCGGGGAGCCUGGACUGUUACUUUGAAAAAAUUAGCGUGUUUAAAGCAGGCUAACGCUUGAAUACAUUAGCAUGGAAUAAUGAAAUAGGACGUUCGAUCCUAUUUUGUUGGUUUCUAGGAUAGACGUAAUGAUUAAUAGGGAUAGUUGGGGGCAUUAGUAUUCAAUUGUCAGAGGUGAAAUUCUUGGAUUUAUUGAAGACUAACUACUGCGAAAGCAUUUGCCAAGGAUGUUUUCAUUAAUCAAGAACGAAAGUUAGGGGAUCGAAGACGAUCAGAUACCGUCGUAGUCUUAACCAUAAACUAUGCCGACUAGGGAUCGGAUGAUGUUAAUUUUUUAAUGACUCAUUCGGCGCCUUACG